GCCUCUUGUUUACACCAAGAAAAUGUCCGUUCAACCCGGACCAUAUUGA
Molecule: transfer RNA, 49 nt
Filed under: Hylarana erythraea (green paddy frog)
Lineage: Eukaryota; Metazoa; Chordata; Amphibia; Anura; Ranidae
Description: partial tRNA-Val
Source: RNAcentral